RNAcentral lists this long non-coding RNA (390 nucleotides) under Setaria viridis. RNAcentral describes it as "long non-coding RNA (SVIR_LNC002952)". The record is from RNAcentral. Lineage: Eukaryota; Viridiplantae; Streptophyta; Magnoliopsida; Poales; Poaceae.
GGGAAUCUCGGGACGAGAUUCUAUUAAGGGGGAGAGGCUGUAAUACCUACCAUUUUUAGUCAUUAAAGUAACUCCAAAGAAAUGGAAGCAAUUCAUGAAGAAAAGAAGAAGAAAUUGGCCAAAAAUCAAAUUCGGGUCAAAUUUGACCGAAAUUUGAAUUUUGAAUUCGAAAUUCAGAAAAAUUCAGCAAAAAUAUGGAAUGAAGGUGUAAGGGUGAUUAGAACUUAAAGAUCAAAAUUUGGGACAAGGAUUGGUCCUGAAUACCUCAAGAAAAUCAAAGAAAGAAAAUGAAAAACAAGUUUACUGUUCCCCGUCCGACAAUAGCAGUUUCAGAAAAACAGCACAGAGUUCAUUUUUGGAAAUUGAAUUCUGUUGAAUUUUUCAAAUAAG